UAACAUCUUCCAUUUGAAGAGGAUAUUAGUUCUGUAAAGAGCGCAAAGGCCCGAGUGUGGGAAGAGAUAAGCUAAGCCUGAGGGCAGAAGACCUUGAAUACUAAGCCAAGGAAUUUGUAUUUUACUUGCUGAAUUUUUACAAUGCUGCAUCCAGCGUGUCCUUAAGUCAGUACAUCCAAAUACAAAGGCAUGUGGACGGUAUGCAGAGAGUUCUCACCAACUGGGAAUAAUACUCCAUUGCUGGAUUAAUUCAGUGGACACAUGAGAAUGAAGAAGGUCAAGGGAAUCACCCUGUUGUCUGGAACAUAACCACUGAUGGGACUUUUCUUGGUAUGCAUUUGGGUAGGAAAGUGUAAACAAAAACAUAAGAUGAUGAAUUUCAUCUGCUAUAACCAGGCUCUCCCUGAACGAUGCAUCACCCCUUACCACUCUCUCGCUGCUUCCCUUCCUGGCUUAUGUGAUAGAAGAGGACAGUUUACUGUGGACCUUGCAGGUGGAUAUCUGCAUCUGAAUCCCAGUUUUGCUACCAAGAAACAAGUUGCUUUAUCUCUGUGAACCUCACUCACCAUCUUCAUCUAUGGAAUGGAAGUGAUCAUAAUCCUGCAGCAAUGCCCUUGCUUGGGACCAUUAAAAAGUUAAUUAAAGGGCCAGCCACCAAUCUUGGACUUCCCUGGUGUUUCAGUGGUCAAGAAUCCUCCUGCCACUUAAAAAACUGGAAACAGAACUGCCUUAUGAUCCAGCAAUCCCACUGCUGAGCAUACACACUGAGGAAACCAGAAUUGAAAGAGACACAUGUACCCCAGUGUUCAUCGCAGCACUGUUUAAAAUAGCCAGGACGUGGAAGCAACCUAGAUGUCCAUCAGCAGAUGAAUGGAUAAGAAAGCUGUGGUACAUAUACACAAUGGAGUAUUACUCAGCCAUUAAAAAGAAUACAUUUGAAUCAGUUCUAAUGAGGUGGAUGAAACUGGAACCUAUUAUACAGAGUGAAGUAAGCCAGAAAGAAAAACACCAAUACAGUAUACUAAUGCAUAUAUAUUGGAGAAGGCAAUGGCACCCCAUUCCAGUACUUUUGCCUAGAAAAUCCCAUGGAUGGAGGAGCCUGGUAGGCUGCAGUCCAUGGGGUCGCUAGAGUUGGACACGACUGAGUGACUUCACUUUCACGCAUUGGAGAAGGAAAUGGCAACCCACUCCAGUGUUCUUGCCUGGAGAAUCCCAGGGAUGGGGAAGCCUGGUGGGCUGCCGUCGAUGGGUUGCAGAGUUGGACAUGACUGAAGCGACUUAGCAGCAGCAAUGCAUAUAUAUAGAAUUUAGAAAGAUGGUAACAAUAACCCUGUAUACGAGACAGCAAAAGAGACACUGAUGUAUGGAACAGUCUUUUGGACUCUGUGGAAGAGGGAGAGGGUGGGAUGAUUUGGGAGAACGGCAUUGAAACAUGUAUAAUAUCAUAUAUGAAACGAGUUGCCAGUCCAGGUUUGAUGCACGAUACUGGAUGCUUGGGGCUGGUGCACUGGGACGACCCAGAGGGAUGGUAUGGGGAAGGAGGAGGGAGGUGGGUUCAGGAUGGGGAACACAUGUAUACCUGUGGUGGAUUCAUUUUGAUAUAUGGCAAAACCAAGCAAUACUGUAAAGUUAAAAAAAAAAAAAAAAAAAGAAUCCUCCUGCCGGUGCAGAGGACAUGGGUUCGAUCAAUCCCUGGUCUGGGAAGAUUCCACAUGCGGUGGAGCAACUAGGCCUGUGCGCCAUAACUGCUGAGCCUGCAGCUGCAAUUCCUGAAACCCAUGUGCCUAGAAUCUGUGCUCCACAACAAGAGAAGUCACGACAAUGAGAAGACCUCAAACCCCGAUGAAAAGUAGCCCCUGCUCUCCUAAACCCACUCCCAGCAACAAAGACCCAGCACAGCCAAAAAUCCGGAAGUGCUAGCCACCAGUCUGAAUAUCACCUUUUCUAUACAGGGCACUGGGGUCUUAGAUUACUAAGCACAGUUGAGACAAGCUGCCUUUGAGGCUUCGGUUUCUAAAAUUUGGUAGAAAGAGCCUCACCUUGGGGCAAUACAGUAGCCUCAUUUUUGGUUUUCUCUUUGGUGAGCUCUUUGAGGGCAUGACUAGCCUUUAUCUUGUUUACUUUCCAUUCUCAGAACAUUUCUAGUGCCAACUGAUACUCAGUAAAUGAUUGCUGAUUAAUAACUAUAUAUUUGGGGGAAGCUCAAAGACAGCAUGACUUUUUUGUACCAAAAAGCUUAUUAUAGAAUCCACUUUAUGUAAGACUCAUGUUUCUUCAACUUAUUUCUUUUUUUUUAUUCUAAUUUUUUUUUUCAAUUGAAAUGACUAUUCUUGCUUGGAGAAUCCCAUGGACAGAGGAGCUUAGCAGUGUACAGUCCAUAGGGUCCCAAAGGGUCAGACACAACUGAAGCGACUUAGCACGUGUAAUUAAUUUACAAAGCUGUGUUAGUUUCAGGUCAGUUGGUUCAGUUAUACACAUAAGGCUCUCUUUGUACAGUCAAUAUUUUCUCCACAAGAGUCUUUUUUUACUUAAUUGAAGUUUCUUUCCUAUCCCCUUCUUUUAAGCGAAGUUAUCAAAAAAACAGAUGGUUAUGUGCAUCCAUAACCACAUACCAACAAUGCAAAGCAGUGACGUGACCCUAAGUGGGCAGAGUGGUAACUAGGAAUGCAGGUCCUGUUACUUUAUCUGGAUUCAAGUCCUCACUCUGUAGUUGGGUGACUGGGCAGGUUGAUUCACCUCUCUGAGUCUUGGUUUCCUCCUUCUCUGUAAAAUAGAAAUAGCAACACACAAAAAAGGAAAUAAUAUAAAUAAUUAAAAUGGUACCUACCCUUUGGAGGGCAGUUAAGGAUGACAGUGUGAAAGUCACUAUCCAGCUCACCCAGCAGCAUCUGGCCUGUGGCUAGUGCUUUCCGAACUGUUACAGUGACAGCAUCUCCCAAUCACAGGAGACAACACAAGCCACCUCAGUCUCUGAAAGUCUUAGAACCCUGGAUCCAGACCUGUCAGGUCAUCUGAUUUUGAUGGGCACAGGCUGUGCCCAGUAGACGCUGCUUGCUGAAACGAUGUUCCUGGAGACCUUCAAAGUCAGCAU
This is a long non-coding RNA of Bos taurus (domestic cattle), 3091 nucleotides long. NCBI's taxonomy places the organism in Eukaryota, Metazoa, Chordata, Mammalia, Artiodactyla, Bovidae. The record is from Ensembl.